GAGAAGAAUAAGUGAUAGAGUAACUGUUAUCACCUUGACGGUAUCUAACCAGAAAGCCACGGCUAACUACGUGCCAGCAGCCGCGGUAAUACGUAGGUGGCAAGCGUUGUCCGGAUUUAUUGGGCGUAAAGCGAGCGCAGGCGGUCUUUUAAGUCUGAUGUGAAAGCCCUCGGCUCAACCGAGGAAGGUCAUUGGAAACUGGAGGACUUGAGUGCAGAAGAGGAGAGUGGAAUUCCAUGUGUAGCGGUGAAAUGCGUAGAUAUAUGGAGGAACACCAGUGGCGAAGGCGACUCUCUGGUCUGUAACUGACGCUGA
This 315-nucleotide ribosomal RNA is filed under the name Vagococcus teuberi. Its description in RNAcentral is "bacterial SSU rRNA". It matches the Rfam family "Bacterial small subunit ribosomal RNA", at positions 442 to 749 of the family's 1533-position model. Lineage: Bacteria; Bacillati; Bacillota; Bacilli; Lactobacillales; Enterococcaceae. The record is from RNAcentral.